This 203-nucleotide ribosomal RNA is filed under the name uncultured bacterium. Its description in RNAcentral is "partial 16S ribosomal RNA". It matches the Rfam family "Bacterial small subunit ribosomal RNA", at positions 1300 to 1500 of the family's 1533-position model. The record is from RNAcentral.
GUAGGCUGCAACUCGCCUACACGAAGCUGGAAUCGCUAGUAAUCGCGGAUCAGCACGCCGCGGUGAAUACGUUCCCGGGCCUUGUACACACCGCCCGUCACACCAUGAGGGUCUGUAACACCCAAAGCCGGUGGGAUAACCUUUAUAGGAGUCAGCCGUCUAAGGUAGGACAGAUGAUUAGGGUGAAGUCGUAACAAGGUAAC